GAGGGAAUAACUCAAGUGGUAGAGUGUGUGCUUAGCAUGCGUGAGGUCCUGGGUUCAAUUCCCAGUACUUCCU
RNAcentral lists this transfer RNA (73 nucleotides) under Camelus ferus (Wild Bactrian camel). It matches the Rfam family "tRNA". From Rfam's summary of the family: Transfer RNA (tRNA) molecules are approximately 80 nucleotides in length. Their secondary structure includes four short double-helical elements and three loops (D, anti-codon, and T loops). Further hydrogen bonds mediate the characteristic L-shaped molecular structure. tRNAs have two regions of fundamental functional importance: the anti-codon, which is responsible for specific mRNA codon recognition, and the 3' end, to which the tRNAs corresponding amino acid is attached (by aminoacyl-tRNA synthetases). tRNAs cope with the degeneracy of the genetic code in two manners: having more than one tRNA (with a specific anti-codon) for a particular amino acid; and 'wobble' base-pairing, i.e. permitting non-standard base-pairing at the 3rd anti-codon position. Lineage: Eukaryota; Metazoa; Chordata; Mammalia; Artiodactyla; Camelidae. The record is from Rfam by way of RNAcentral.